Molecule: transfer RNA, 73 nt
Filed under: Mesocricetus auratus (golden hamster)
Lineage: Eukaryota; Metazoa; Chordata; Mammalia; Rodentia; Cricetidae
Rfam family: tRNA
About the family: Transfer RNA (tRNA) molecules are approximately 80 nucleotides in length. Their secondary structure includes four short double-helical elements and three loops (D, anti-codon, and T loops).
Source: Rfam by way of RNAcentral
GGGAAUGAAGCUCAGUUGGUAGAAUGCCUGUCUGGCAUGCACAAAGUCCUGGGUUUGAUCCCCAGCACUGCCU